Trematomus bernacchii (emerald rockcod) is the source of this 133-nucleotide small nucleolar RNA. RefSeq annotates it as U8 small nucleolar RNA. The record is from RefSeq and is a predicted model, not a curated record. NCBI's taxonomy places the organism in Eukaryota, Metazoa, Chordata, Actinopteri, Perciformes, Nototheniidae. The transcript has a single exon.
UCAUGAAACUUGUGUCAUCUUUACCCGUUACUCCUAAUAAGGAAUUUCAGAAAAUGAUGAAUGGAGACCCAUGAGAUAUGAUUAAUAUCUCCAUCUUAGAGGGAACUGCAACACCUUCUAAGACCAUUCUGAC